Ornithorhynchus anatinus (platypus) is the source of this 1149-nucleotide long non-coding RNA. RefSeq lists it as uncharacterized. The transcript is spliced from 3 exons. The record is from RefSeq and is a predicted model, not a curated record. Lineage: Eukaryota; Metazoa; Chordata; Mammalia; Monotremata; Ornithorhynchidae.
GCCUCAGGGGGCAGCUGCAAACUGGUUGCACCGUCUGCUCCAGGGAAAGAUCGCAACAGGCUUCUUUUUCUAUCACAACAGUUCCAGGACUUCCAGAUCCCAGCCGAACGGAACCGCCGAAAGACAUCCCCGAAGUGACUCUCUGGCAAUUUGAUGACUGCUGGAUUCCACUUGCAUCACACUAAAGCUCUUGACAUUAGGCAUCCACCACUCCCUCCUCUCCUGGUAUUCUCGGCUCCUGCCAAGGUUCUCAUGGAAAGGAAACCCAGACCAGAAUCCUCUCCCCGACUCUACUUAGAGCCUGAGGUCCUCAAGCCACUCUCUGCUAUCGCCUAAAUGCCUCUAGGAAUACAAGUAAAAGACCCCAACCCUUGGAUUCUUAGUUAUAUGACAAAUCCACAUCCAAAGUGAGUGACCCUCAGUGCCUAAUAUCUGGCGAGUUUGAAUCUACUCCACUGGUGAUUCCCUGCCUUGAGGACACAAACGCACUGCUGUGCUUAGACUGUCAAGACGGCUCUUCUUUCCUCAAACGUUUUGGUACAGUACUUCGAGUUUGGGAGUCAUUUGCCAGACAGCAUUGAACGGAUUAAUUACCUGGAUAGACGGGGUGCAAAAAACUGCCAAGGAAGAGACUUAUGUGCCAACAUUUGCCAUGGGGUUUAUUUACACUGGACUAUUUGCACGAGAUAAAAGGAGAAAGCACAGCAGAAACCAAAUGAUGUCAGACAAAGGGCAUCUGAGACAGGAAGCGAUAAGGAUGCAGGUGAUUUAUAAAAAUGAAAAAAAAAAGCUCUAAGUCUUGAAGUGACUAAACAGAUGUAAUUUUCCUAACACGCUCCUAAAGGUAGAACCAUUUCCAUGCCCCGAUAAUCCGGGAGUAUUUCAAGGAAAUGAAUUAAAAUCCUUCUGAAACAAAACUCCUCUAUAGAUCCCUGGCCUGUCACCCACCCAACUGAUUUCUCUGGAGUUCAACAGUCUUCAAACGGCUCCCCGACUUGAGUUUCAUUUCUUCACUAGAAGCGUCAUUUGGGGAUUGGAGCUGGCUUCAGGGAAACUUAAGACUGAGGCAUGUUGAACAAAGAAUUCUAGAUCUUAGUCACAAAUCAUUUUUCCCAGUUAGAGAAAUAAACAUAUCACCUCUGAGGAAAA